CUUCGUUAAGUUAAAAUAUUUUUUCUAAUAAAGUCCAUGUAAUUGUGUCUGUUGUUAUCUGUACAAAAUAUUGUGUUGUUUAAUCACAGAACAUUUAAGUGAAUUAGGAUAAAAAUGCUUCUUACAUCCAGAAGGUGGCAGUAAUGCAACGCCAGCUGCUGUAAAACCCCCAAGAAGAAGAAGAAGAUUAGGACGCUUCAGACUGCACAUAUGCAAAGCCACUUGCCUGCUUUUAGUUUACCUUCAAAUCUUCCCUGAGUUCAUUUUGGCAGACAAGUUGCUGUUGGUCUUCGUUUUCUGAGUUGGAAGAGAUGAUCACUCUUUGGACUAAGUUGGACAUGGUAGUGAUGUGACCAUCUUCCCAGACGUCACCAAUUACUUAUGAUGUUAUAGUGUGGAUGCUGACGAGGUGGGCCACACAGAGUGGAAGGGAAGAAGGAGGAGAAGAGGAAGGCCGUCUCCCCCUGACCAACCACAAAUAUCCCCUCCAGGACCAGGAAGAAUACCCCUUUCUGAUGUAAGCCAGGUGAACCUGUUUGUGAUUGUGGACAGGAACUGCCAUGAUACAUGUUAUAUUUAGGGAUAUGCAUUGGCAGGGAAAACAAUGACAAAUCCUGGCCAAAAACGCCCAUGGACACUGCCCAAAAAAUGGGCAUAAGACAAGAAGCUAGAAUCUUCAAACCACUUCUAGAACAAUCCAAACAAAUGUAUGCAACUGUCUAUGUCGAGUUUUUAUUUUGUCAUUAUGGUUUGCAGUGCUGUUUUAAAUAAAAUUAGUAAAAAUUCAAGUUCCAUUUUUUUUUUUAUGGGUUAAUAUCCCCCAUGAUAGUGAAUAGAAGUCUUUAUUGAGUGAUGUAUAUCAUACCUGAUUCUGGAAAUGAAACUUGAUAAUAGUGUAAAAACUUUAUAAGGCAAAACACAAAGAAAUGCAGGCUCUAAGCUAUUCUAGCAGUAAGCAUCAAGUGCCAUACAUCAUUAGAUUCAGGAGAACCUGAGGUUUCAGUCUGAUUCAUUCAGACCCAAUUUUACAUUUGCUCUGUCUGAGAAUAGAUGAAUUUACUAGAAUUUUUUUCAACAUCAUUAUAAAUGUGAUGUUUUUUUACUGUGAACUCAGGCCGAACCUCAGGAAUUUUAUGUUUUU
Molecule: long non-coding RNA, 1141 nt
Organism: Siniperca chuatsi (mandarin fish)
Lineage: Eukaryota; Metazoa; Chordata; Actinopteri; Centrarchiformes; Sinipercidae
Exons: 3
Source: RefSeq, a predicted model, not a curated record